Molecule: ribosomal RNA, 468 nt
Filed under: uncultured bacterium
Lineage: Bacteria
Description: partial 16S ribosomal RNA
Rfam family: Bacterial small subunit ribosomal RNA
Source: RNAcentral
GACGAACGCUGGCGGCGUGCUUAACACAUGCAAGUCGAACGGAAAGGCCCUGCUUUUGUGGGGUGCUCGAGUGGCGAACGGGUGAGUAACACGUGAGUAACCUGCCCUUUACUUUGGGAUAACUUCAGGAAACUGGGGCUAAUACCGGAUAGUAGCUCCUGCUGCAUGGUGGGGGUUGGAAAGUUUCGGCGGUUGGGGAUGGACUCGCGGCUUAUCAGCUUGUUGGUGGGGUAGUGGCUUACCAAGGCUUUGACGGGUAGCCGGCCUGAGAGGGUGACCGGCCACAGUGGGACUGAGAAACGGCCCAGACGCAUACGGGAGGAAGCAGUGGGGAAUAUUGCAAAAUGGGCGGAAGCAUGAUGCAGCAACGCCGCGUGCGGGAUGACGGCCGUCGGGUUGUAAACCGCUUUCGCCUGUGAAGAAGAGUGAGUGACGGUAAUGGGUAAAGAAGCACCGGCUAACUACGUG